RNAcentral lists this microRNA (22 nucleotides) under Ixodes ricinus (castor bean tick). RNAcentral's name for it is "iri-miR-X9-5p". The record is from RNAcentral. Lineage: Eukaryota; Metazoa; Arthropoda; Arachnida; Ixodida; Ixodidae.
AAGGUCAUCCCAUGGUCACGUG